Molecule: ribosomal RNA, 305 nt
Filed under: uncultured bacterium
Lineage: Bacteria
Description: bacterial SSU rRNA
Rfam family: Bacterial small subunit ribosomal RNA
Source: RNAcentral
UUUUGCCUACGGGGCGCAGCAGUGAGGAAUAUUGGUCAAUGGUCGGGAGACUGAACCAGCCAAGCCGCGUGAGGGAGGAAGGUACAGAGUAUCGUAAACCUCUUUUGUCAGGGGACAAAGACUGGGACGCGUCCCCGGAUGAGUGUACCUGAAGAAAAAGCAUCGGCUAACUCCGUGCCAGCAGCCGCGGUAAUACGGAGGAUCCGAGCGUUAUCCGGAUGUAUUGGGUUUAAAGGGAGCGUAGGUGGAUUGUUAAGUCAGUUGGGAAAGUUUGCGGCUCAACCGUAAAAUUGCAGUGGAAACUG